AUUGAACGCUGGCGGCAUGCUUUACACAUGCCAGUCGGACGGCAGCACAGAGAAGCUUGCUUCUUGGGUGGCGAGUGGCGAACGGGUGAGUAAUAUAUCGGAACGUACCGAGUAAUGGGGGAUAACUAAUCGAAAGAUUAGCUAAUACCGCAUAUUCUCUGAGGAGGAAAGCAGGGGACCUUCGGGCCUUGCGUUAUUCGAGCGGCCGAUAUCUGAUUAGCUAGUUGGUGGGGUAAAGGCCUACCUAGGCGACGAUCAGUAGCGGGUCUGAGAGGAUGAUCCGCCACACUGGGACUGAGACACGGCCCAGACUCCUACGGGAGGCAGCAGUGGGGAAUUUUGGACAAUGGGCGCAAGCCUGAUCCAGCCAUGCCGCGUGUCUGAAGAAGGCCUUCGGGUUGUAAAGGACUUUUGUCAGGGAAGAAAAGGCUGUUGCUAAUACCGACAGCUGAUGACGGUACCUGAAGAAUAAGCACCGGCUAACUACGUG
This 490-nucleotide ribosomal RNA is filed under the name uncultured bacterium. Its description in RNAcentral is "partial 16S ribosomal RNA". It matches the Rfam family "Bacterial small subunit ribosomal RNA", at positions 30 to 507 of the family's 1533-position model. The record is from RNAcentral.